AGGAGGAACAACCACAGUGGCGGCAGCCAGCUCUCGCCCUGGAGUCAGCUCCUGCAGUAAUUACAGAGCUCUCAGUCUGCAGGGGCCUGGAUGCUCCGGGGGCAG
RNAcentral lists this microRNA precursor (105 nucleotides) under Canis lupus familiaris (dog). RNAcentral describes it as "mir-8834 microRNA precursor family". It matches the Rfam family "mir-8834 microRNA precursor family". The record is from Rfam by way of RNAcentral. Lineage: Eukaryota; Metazoa; Chordata; Mammalia; Carnivora; Canidae.